UACACUCCUGCGGGAGGCAGCAGUGGGGAAUUUUGGACAAUGGGCGAAAGCCUGAUCCAGCAAUGCCGCGUGAGUGAAGAAGGCCUUCGGGUUGUAAAGCUCUUUUGUCAGGGAAGAAACGGUGAGAGCUAAUAUCUCUUGCUAAUGACGGUACCUGAAGAAUAAGCACCGGCUAACUACGUGCCAGCAGCCGCGGUAAUACGUAGGGUGCAAGCGUUAAUCGGAAUUACUGGGCGUAAAGCGUGCGCAGGCGGUUUUGUAAGUCUGAUGUGAAAUCCCCGGGCUCAACCUGGGAAUUGCAUUGGAGACUGCAAGGCUAGAAUCUGGCAGAGGGGGGUAGAAUUCCACGUGUAGCAGUGAAAUGCGUAGAUAUGUGGAGGAACACCGAUGGCGAAGGCAGCCCCCUGGGUCAAGAUUGACGCUCAUGCACGAAAGCGUGGGGAGCAAACAGGAUUAGAUACCCUAGUAGUCC
RNAcentral lists this ribosomal RNA (472 nucleotides) under uncultured organism. RNAcentral's name for it is "partial 16S ribosomal RNA". It matches the Rfam family "Bacterial small subunit ribosomal RNA", at positions 332 to 796 of the family's 1533-position model. The record is from RNAcentral.